RNAcentral lists this ribosomal RNA (473 nucleotides) under uncultured organism. RNAcentral's name for it is "partial 16S ribosomal RNA". It matches the Rfam family "Bacterial small subunit ribosomal RNA", at positions 334 to 799 of the family's 1533-position model. The record is from RNAcentral.
CACUCCUACGGGAGGCAGCAGUGGGGAAUUUUGGACAAUGGGCGAAAGCCUGAUCCAGCAAUGCCGCGUGAGUGAAGAAGGCCUUCGGGUUGUAAAGCUCUUUUGUCAGGGAAGAAACGGUGAAAGCUAAUAUCUUUUGCUAAUGACGGUACCUGAAGAAUAAGCACCGGCUAACUACGUGCCAGCAGCCGCGGUAAUACGUAGGGUGCAAGCGUUAAUCGGAAUUACUGGGCGUAAAGCGUGCGCAGGCGGUUUUGUAAGUCUGAUGUGAAAUCCCCGGGCUCAACCUGGGAAUUGCAUUGGAGACUGCAAGGCUAGAAUCUGGCAGAGGGGGGUAGAAUUCCACGUGUAGCAGUGAAAUGCGUAGAUAUGUGGAGGAACACCGAUGGCGAAGGCAGCCCCCUGGGUCAAGAUUGACGCUCAUGCACGAAAGCGUGGGGAGCAAACAGGAUUAGAAACCCGUGUAUCCCAUG